AUUGAACGCUGGCGGCAGGCCUAACACAUGCAAGUCGGGCGAGCGGCAGACGGGUGAGUAAUGUAUGGGGACUGCCUGAUGGCGGGGGAAAACUACUGGAAACGGUAGCUAAUACCGCAUACCUUCAGAUAACAUAUAUGGGAUUGGCUUUGAGGGGAGGUAACGGCUCACCAAGGCGACGAUCCCUAGUUGGUGUGAGAGGAUGAUCAGCCACACUGUGACUGAGCCACGGCCCAGACUCCUACGGAGGCAGAGGUGGGGAAUAUUGCACAAUGGGCGCAAGCCUGAUGCAGCCAUUCCGCGUGUAUGAAGAAGGCCUUCGGGUUGUAAAGUACUUUCAGUCGGGAGGCGUUACCGACAGAAGAAGCACCGGCUAACUCCGUGCCAGCAGCCGCGGUAAUUC
Molecule: ribosomal RNA, 403 nt
Filed under: uncultured bacterium
Lineage: Bacteria
Description: partial 16S ribosomal RNA
Rfam family: Bacterial small subunit ribosomal RNA
Source: RNAcentral